AUUCCCUACCUGAAGCUAAGAAGUUAAGUGCAGUUUUCAAAGCGCAAACAUUCGAAUCGAUAAUCUUGUGUGUGAAUUUUUCGAAAGUUUUUAGCACGAGACGUUAUGAGUACGAACACUACGGAAUUGGCAAUAUCGCCAGAAUUAUGGAAACAAGGCAAAAGUCCGCUACUCGAUUCAUGGCUGUUGUACAGAAAUCCGUUAUACGUUUCACUGAUUUUAGUUGCAUACCUCGCGUUUGUACUAUAUCUGGGACCGAAAUUCAUGGAGAAGCGGGAGCCGUACAAUCUAAAAAUUAUCCUCAUUUUGUGCAAUGUAGUGAAAGUGCUCUACAAUUUGUAUGUCCUGGUAUGGUCAUCUCUUCAACCAAAUGCUUUGAAAUAUUUUUUAAAUUUCGGUUGUGUAGAAACAGAUGAACAACAAGAGCAUGACUUUCAAACAACAAUGUGUGUGAUAAUUUGGCAUAUGACAGUUAUUAAAAUAAUGGACCUGCUGGAUACGGUUUUCUUUGUCUUACGCAAAACCAAAAACCGCAUCACUUUCCUCCACUUACAGCAUCAUAUUUUAAGUCUGACGAUAUUGUGGAUACUUGGAAAAUAUUUCAUCGGGCAAGAAUUGGCAAUAGCAUUCGUUUGUAACACGAUUGUCCAUUCGAUUAUGUACUUUUAUUAUUUGAUUGCUGCGCUGGGUCCUGCAUACAAAAAAUAUCUUUGGUGGAAGAAAUACGUGACAAUUAUUCAAAUUGGUCAGUUUCUGAUUAUGAUUGCCUAUAUGUUAGCAUCGUUAUGGUUAAGUUGUGGAUACAAUCCUGUAAUUGUUUCGGUUCUUAUUCUUAAUGCUUCCCUGAAUUUUGUUUUGUUCGUGAAAUUUUACUUUGCUGCGUACCAUUCAAAAAAGGAUAGAAAUUGCGGUCGAGGUACUUAUACGAAAGAUAAUCAAAACGCUUAGUGAAAAUUGUAAAAAGAAAAAAUAAAAAAGAUGAAAGCGGUACCAACGGUUUUUCUGUCUGAUACAAAAAAUGUUUGUAAAAAUAAGAGUAAGGUGUUACAAAUAAGAAAAUACACAAAAAAUAUUGAAAUAUUAUAAGCAAAUCAUAUUUGGUGGUUGUUGCAGGCUGCAAAAAAGAUGUGAAUAAAUUUGU
Bradysia coprophila is the source of this 1141-nucleotide long non-coding RNA. The record is from RefSeq and is a predicted model, not a curated record. Lineage: Eukaryota; Metazoa; Arthropoda; Insecta; Diptera; Sciaridae.